This 1702-nucleotide ribosomal RNA is filed under the name Klapopteryx armillata. RNAcentral's name for it is "partial 28S ribosomal RNA". It matches the Rfam family "Eukaryotic large subunit ribosomal RNA", at positions 24 to 1896 of the family's 3401-position model. The record is from RNAcentral. Lineage: Eukaryota; Metazoa; Arthropoda; Insecta; Plecoptera; Austroperlidae.
UCCCGCGUAAUUUAAGCAUAUUAAUAAGCGGAGGAAAAGAAACUAACAAGGAUUCCCCUAGUAGCUGCGAGCGAACAGGGAGGAGCCCAGCACCGAAUCCUGCGCCCGCGAGCGCGUCUGGAAAUGUGGUGUUCGGGAGGAUCCGGUCAUCUCGCUCGAGUACGCCAGUCCAAGUCCAUCUUGAAAGCGGCCACAGCCCACAGAGGGUGCCAGGCCCGUAGGACGGCGGUCGACUCGGGCGAAAGGGUCUCUCCCAGAGUUCAAGAGUACGUGAAACCGUUCAGGGGUAAACGGGCGAAAUCUGGAAAAUCGAACGGAGAGAUUCAAGCCCCACUCGCUCGUGCGUUGCACGGCGGCCGCCGAUGGGGGCGGGUCGCCCGCGCGUUGCCGCAAGGCGCGCCGGUGUCGUUCCCGCCGUCCACGCGCCGCGUCGUCGUGCUCGCCGGCGUCGGGCCGCACUUCUCUCCCGGUAGUACGUCGCGACCCGUUGGGCGUCUGUCCAAGGCCCGUGCGUGGAGCCGGUCGUUGCGCGCGUCGUGGCGCGCGGGGUUCGCCCCGCGCGCCCACCGCCUCGGCCGACCGCUGCGGUGUCCCGGCAGGCUCGCCCGACGGUAUGCCAUGCCGAUCCGAAACGCACACAGCGCCCGUCAAACGGCGCGUGCGGCGCCUCGCGCGCACGGAUCGCGUCGGCGACGCUCCAUCUAGAGCAUCACCCGACCCGUCUUGAAACACGGACCAAGGAGUCUAACAUGUGCGCGAGUCAUUGGGACCGCACCGAAACCUAAAGGCGUAACGAAAGUGAAGGCAGGCUUAUGCGGCGACGCGCGGACCCACGGGGACGCGCCCGCCCUCCGCCGAGGGGAGAUGCAGCCCGUCCGCAGCGACGCGGCUGCCGCACCCCCGGGGCGUCUCGUUGUCAUUGCGACACAGCAGGCGCACCCAGAGCGUACACGUUGGGACCCGAAAGAUGGUGAACCUGGCGCUCGGAGACGUUGUUGGGCGGCGCCGAGGUCGCGCAAGCGGCCGGAGCCCGCACGUAACCAGUCUCAUCUGGUAAAGCGAAUGAUUAGAGGCCUUGGGGCCGAAACGACCUCAACCUAUUCUCAAACUUUAAAUGGGUGAGAAAUUCGACUUGCUCGAAUACAAUGAAGUCAAAUAAGUAAAUGACAGGAUGAACGAGUGCCAAGUGGGCCAAUUUUGGUAAGCAGAACUGGUGCUGUGGGAUGAACCAAACGUCGAGUUAAGGCGCCUAAAUCGAUGCUCAUGGGAUACCAUGAAAGGCGUUGGUUGCUUAAGACAGCAGGACGGCGACGUUGAUGUGCUGUCGAAUUCAUUUUAAACGUAACGAAUGACCACAUCGGGCGAAAGGGAAUCCGGUUCCUAUUCCGGAACCCGGCAGCGGAACCGACCAUGCGGGCCAAUGUCGCGCAAGCGGCAACUCGUCGGGGUAACCCAAAAGGACCCGGAGACGCCGUCGGAUGAUCGAGGCAGAGUUUUCUGUUCUGUAUGAGCGUUCGAGUUCCCUGGAAUCGCCUAGCGCGGAGAUAGGGUUUGGAACGCGAAGAGCACCGCACUUGCGGCGGUGUCUCGAUCUAUCCCUCGGACCUUGAAAAUCCGGGAGAGGGCCACGUGGAGGUGUCGCGCCGGUUCGUACCCAUAUCCGCAGCAGUCUCCAAGGUGAGGAGCCUCUAGUCGAUAGAAU